Molecule: unclassified non-coding RNA, 180 nt
Filed under: uncultured fungus
Lineage: Eukaryota; Fungi
Description: partial contains 5.8S ribosomal RNA, internal transcribed spacer 2, and large subunit ribosomal RNA
Source: RNAcentral
AAGGAUCAUUACCUAGAGUUGUAGGCUUUGCCUACCAUCUCUUACCCAUGUCUUUUGAGUACCUUCGUUUCCUCGGCGGGUCCGCCCGCCGAUUGGACAAACUUAAACCCUUUGUAAUUGAAAUCAGCGUCUGAAAAAACAUAAUAGUUACAACUUUCAACAACGGAUCUCUUGGUUCUG